Molecule: long non-coding RNA, 213 nt
Filed under: Musa acuminata (dwarf banana)
Lineage: Eukaryota; Viridiplantae; Streptophyta; Magnoliopsida; Zingiberales; Musaceae
Description: long non-coding RNA (MACU_LNC009103)
Source: RNAcentral
CUCUACCCCUACCAGCACAAUCUCCGCUGCGCACCGCUUCCUGCUUGACAACUUGACUGGCAACACUAUGGAAUAUUCUUCAAGAGUACCCGCGUUCGUGUCCUCUUGCCCCGUGCCAAGGCCUUCUAAAUCCAACUUUGCCCCUAUAAGUUUAGUCACCUUAGUUCCUCCAUCAAAUUCACCGAGAUAAGAUGCAUGUGCCCAGAAGCUCCC